AGUUUGAUCAUGGCUCAGAUGAACGCUGGCGGAUACGCCACACAUGCAAGUCGAACGGCAGCGGACUUCAGUCUGGUGGCGAGUGGCGAACAGGUGAGUAAUGUAUCGGAACGUGCCUAGUAGCGGGGGAUAACUACGCGAAAGCGUAGCUAAUACCGCAUACGCCCUUCGGGGAAAGCGGGGGACCUUCGGGCCUCGCACUGUGGAAGCGGCCGAUAUCGGAUUAGCUAGUUGGUGGGGUAACGGCUCAUCCAAGGCGACGAUCCCGUAGCUGGUUUGAGGAGGACGACCAGCCACACUGGGACUGAGACACGGCCCAGACUCCUACGGGAGGCAGCAGUGGGGAAUUUUGGACAAUGGGGGAAACCCUGAUCCAGCCAUCCCGCGUGUGCGAUGAAGGCCUUCAGGUUGUAAAGCACUUUUUUGGCAGGAAAAGAAACGGCAUGGGAUAAUACCCCGUGCAACUGACGGUACCUGCAGAAUAAGCACCGGCUAACUACGUGCCAGCAGCCGCGGUAAUACGUAGGGUGCAAGCGUUAAUCGGAAUUACUGGGCGUAAAGCGUGCAGGCGGUUCGGAAAGAAAGAUGUGAAAUCCCAGAGCUUAACUUUGGAGCUGCAUUUUUAACUUACGAGCUAGAGUGUGUCAGAGGGAGGUGGAAUUCCCAUGAUAUUAGCAGUGAAAUGCGUAGAUAUGCGGAGGAACACCGAUGGCGAAGGCAGCCUCCUGGGAUAACACUGACGCUCAUGCACGAAAGCGUCGGGGAGCAAACAGGAUUAGAUACCCUGGUAGUCCACGCCCUAAACGAUGUCAACUAGCUGUUGGGGCCUUCCGGGCCUUGGUAGCGCAGCUAACGCGUGAAGUUGACCGCCUGGGGAAGUACGGUCGCAAGAUUAAAACUCAAAGGAAUUGACGGGGACCCGCACAAGCGGUGGAUGAUGUGGAUUAAUUCGAUGCAACGCGAAAAACCUUACCUACCCUUGACAUGUCUGGAAUCCCGAAGAGAUUUGGGAGUGCUCGCAAGAGAACCGGAACACAGGUGCUGCAUGGCUGUCGUCAGCUCGUGUCGUGAGAUGUUGGGUUAAGAAUCCCGCAACGAGCGCAACCCUUGUCAUUAGUUGCUACGAAAGGGCACUCUAAUGAGACUGCCGGUGACAAACCGGAGGAAGGUGGGGAUGACGUCAAGUCCUCAUGGCCCUUAUGGGUAGGGCUUCACACGUCAUACAAUGGUCGGGACAGAGGGUCGCCAACCCGCGAGGGGAGCCAAUCCCGAAACCCGAUCGUAGUCCGGAUCGCAGUCUGCAACUCGACUGCGUGAAGUCGGAAUCGCUAGUAAUCGCGGAUCAGCAUGUCGCGGUGAAUACGUUCCCGGGUCUUGUACACACCGCCCGUCACACCAUGGGAGUGGGUUUUUUACCGAAGUAGUUAGCCUAACCGUAAGGAGGGCGAUUACCACGGUAGGAUUCAUGACUGGGGUGAAGUCGUAACAAGGUAG
This 1494-nucleotide ribosomal RNA is filed under the name uncultured Bordetella sp. RNAcentral's name for it is "partial 16S-23S ribosomal RNA intergenic spacer". It matches the Rfam family "Bacterial small subunit ribosomal RNA". Lineage: Bacteria; Pseudomonadati; Pseudomonadota; Betaproteobacteria; Burkholderiales; Alcaligenaceae. The record is from RNAcentral.